Gavialis gangeticus (Gharial) is the source of this 2293-nucleotide long non-coding RNA. RefSeq lists it as uncharacterized. NCBI's taxonomy places the organism in Eukaryota, Metazoa, Chordata, Crocodylia, Gavialidae. The transcript has 3 exons. The record is from RefSeq and is a predicted model, not a curated record.
CUGCAGGCAUGUGGCUGUAGUUCCUGAAUCAAAGCUGCUCAGUAGCACUCCUUUGGGCACCUGUUGCCUUGCCAUCAGAUGGAUGGAAUGAAGAAGUAUGGGAUGAGCGCAGCAAGGACUCUACAAAAGGCACAGGACAGCAGCUGCUUACUGUGACAACUUACCUCCAGCUAAGUGGAAAGAUGAGCAGCUGCUUGCAGAACCAAAGCCAAUCUUCUGCCUGGAUCAGUUGGCGAUGGUUCCUGUGAAAGUGAGGGCUGCAGUAAACGAUAUGUACUGAAUUAAUUGUACCUAUCACCAACCUCUUUCCAAAACUUACUGGGAAAUAUAUCUAUUUCUGCAACAACAAAAAAUCACCCACUAAUCAUCUUUUGAAGGUUAAAGAGAUUUAGAAAAUCAGAUCAGUCUAUUCAUAGGAGCUAUAGCACAGCUGAUGAGUUUAAAAAAAAUUCAAAUUACAUUUGUUUCCUUUCAAAAUGCCUUCAGUCAAGUUUUUCAGAAAGUGUGUGUAUGUGCGUGUGGCUUCUUGGGGUUGUUUUUUUUUGUUGUUUGGGGGUUUUUUUUGUUAUCCUGGUGUUUUGGGGAUGAGUCAUCUUGUGAUUCAUUCUAUUCAGCUGCAUAAAUAAUAUUGCAAAUCUGAUAGAGGAAUAAGCCGGCAUUCAGUAAUAUUUGGAUCCUUGCCCUCUCCUCUAGCUAAGGGUCCCGUCCCCCGCCACCCCCCUUUAUCAUUCUUCUCUUUGGACUUCAAGGGAGGUUGAGGCUCCUCCAAAUCCCAUAACUUCUUGGGUGUGGGCAGCUUGUCUAGCCUCUUAACAGUGGGAGUGGAUAGGCAUGAAUUCCUGUUGUUCUUUCCUCUAACAUGACUCAUUAAUUUUGGAGGCUCCAGACAAUUGAUUGCAGCAGUUCAAAUAUGUCAAAAUACUACAGGGAUCCCCAUGAUUCACUCUCAGGAUUAAGGACUUAGAUGGGAGGUUGGGGGUUGUCUCGUGGCAAACUGAAAUACCAGGUACAAAAUCUUGCUUUUUAAAAUGUCUUCCAACAAACAUUUUGGGGGAAAAUUAACGUAAAAAAUAAAACUGACUCCCUAAUUUUGGCACUAAUUUGUUAUAUGGGGAUGCAGAAUAAUAUCUCCUGCGGUAAUAAGAAAAGGAGGGGAGAAAGCAGAAAGAAGCAAUUGACCUGAAAGUAGUUUGUUCCUGUAAAAGGGUUCAUACGCAGCCAAACUAAUGUAUGUAUAUUCUGUACAUUGCAUGUUCUGGCUGGGGUCACAUCUCUGACACUGUUCUGUUAUACUGGUAUAAUUAAGACUUGUCUUGGAUGGCAACUCUGUAGAGACAGCAAGUGAAUAUAGAGGUUCUGGGAGCCAAAAAAAUGUUGAACUUGUUUGCUGCAUGAUGCAGUAAGAUGUUUCAAAUGACAGAGUUAUUAUUCUUAUUAGAAAUAGUACCACCCAUCUUUCCUCAGAGAGAGACAGAGAUCUCCCAAUUGCUCCUUUCUUUAAUCCGAUCAUGGUGUUGCUUUUCCACUGAUCAGUUUCUGAGAGCUACAGAAAUACUUCAAGUAGGUGCCAGCUUCUCCUGACAAUCUCAAGUCAGAUUUUGGAGCUUGGUUAUUUGUGAAAGGGAUUCAAAGUCGUGGCUUCCUACCUUUGCAGGCAAAUGGACUCCAAGAGCCAGGAGGCGCUUUCUAGUUCCUCUGCCAGGAAGCCCUCAGAGUAGGAAGACAAGGAGGAGGAACUUUAUAGAAACACUAUUUAUCCAGUCCAAAGAGAAAUGAAAUGGGAACUCUAUCAUUGCUUUAAUAAAAGAGGGGAGUGAUAGCCCCUUUCCAGAGAGCAUCUUUAGUUUAAGGAAAUAUACCUAUUCUUAUGCUAGAUGAGGAAUUUCCAUAGGCCCAGUGCUCUUUAUUUCUCAACUCCAAAGUUAAGGGUCAGUCCAUUCUCACUGUUGGGGGGGUUUUCAGCACUACUCUGGGAUUCUUCCACUUUUGUUCCAGCCCUGUCUGAUCUAUCUGAUUGGCAUCUCUGGAGAAACAGGAUAUUUCAGCAGGUCACACAUUGCUUUAUGAGAAAGCAAGCUCAUGGGCUGUUCUUGAAGACUUCAUGGCCAGGCACAGACAUUAUACAUUUGCCAGAAUAAGUGAUCUGAAACUGGGCUAUACCCAGAACAGAAGUUCAGCACAAAGACUGGCUUAAAAAUGAUAGACCCUGGUCUAGGAUUCAAUCUUCCUCUCUCCCUAACCAAAUGCCAGAUGUGUGUUUUGUUAGCUACUGAUCUAAACUAUACCGCUUACA